RNAcentral lists this ribosomal RNA (477 nucleotides) under uncultured bacterium. Its description in RNAcentral is "partial 16S ribosomal RNA". It matches the Rfam family "Bacterial small subunit ribosomal RNA", at positions 28 to 507 of the family's 1533-position model. The record is from RNAcentral.
GAUGAACGCUGGCGGCGUGUCUAAUACAUGCAAGUCGAGCGAACGGACGAGAAGCUUGCUUCUCUGAUGUUAGCGGCGGACGGGUGAGUCACACGUGGAUCCCCUACCUAUCAGACUGGGAUAACUUCGGGAAACCGGCGCUAAUACCGGAUAAUAUUUUGCACCGCAUGGUUCACAAGUGAAAGACGGUCUUGCUGGCGGUUGUAGAUGGAUCCGAGGUUCAUUAGCUAGUUGGUAAGGUAGCGGCUUACCACGGCUAUGAUGGGUAGCCGGCCUGGGAGGUGGACCGGCCACAUGGGGACUGCGAGACGGCCCAGACGCCUACGGGAGGCAGCAGUGGGGAAUAUUGCACAAUGGGCGGAAGCCUGAUGCAGCGACGCCGCGUGCGGGAUGACGGCCUUCGGGUUGUAAACCGCUUUCGCCUGUGACGAAGCGUGAGUGACGGUAAUGGGUCAAGAAGCACCGGCUAACUACGUG